CAGAAGGACCACUUUCUGUAUCAUUCAACGCUAAAGGAGCGAUUCCUUUUUUGGUUUAUUUUAAGCUGAUGAAGUAGUUUCCUGUUCAACAGGAUUCUAUCAUGAUGAUGAAAAAAAAAUUGUCUUGUGUAUAAUAGCUGGUUUUAACCCAUAAGUAAGUGCCAUUGCAGGUGACAGAAAAAUCCUGAUAUUUUUUUCUGUACAAAAGUGAUUUCUUUAACUUGUUUUCUUAUUUAGAUGGUGAAGGGGGAUGGUUGGAACACAUUCAUUAACAGUAGGGGUACAUACAGAGGUGCCUUUUGUUUUCCCUCUUCUUAUUUAGAUGGUGAAGGGGGAUGGUUGGAACACAUUCAUUAACAGUAGGGGUACAUAGAGGUGCCUUUUGUUUUCCCUCUUCUUAUUUAGAUGGUGAAGGGGGAUGGUUGGAACACAUUCAUUAACAGUAGGGGUACAUAGAGGUGCCUUUUGUUUUCCCUCUUCUUAUUUAGAUGGUGAAGGGGGAUGGUUGGAACACAUUCAUUAACAGUAGGGGUACAUACAGAGGUGCCUUUUGUUUUCCCUCUUCUUAUUUAGACGGUGAAGGGGGAUGGUUGGAACACAUUCAUUAACAGUAGGGGUACAUACAGAGGUGCCUUUUGUUUUCCCUUUUUUUGUAUUUUAAAUACUUUUCUAGGCGGAGCUUAAUUCUUAUUUAGAAAAAUAUGGUCUGGUUGAACAUAUUAGUCGUGAUUAAGCAAUGAACCUUGAACUCACUAUAUUUGAGUUGUGCAGUUGAAAUAAUAUUUUAUUUUAAACUUAUUGCAGUUCAUUGAUCGCAUCAUAAAACUAGGAACCAGGAGGCCAAAACUCAGGACUAUGAUUGUCCAGGAAAGUUAACAUUCCAGUAAACUGGAUAAGGUAGAAGAAUCAUCUUGCUCUGAAUAUAUAUAUUUUUGACAUGUAGCUUGUUUUGGGGGAAAUCUAAAUUAAAUAACCUCAGUGAAAUUGAGCCAAUGCAUAUUUUAAUCGUGGUGGUUGAGCUUACAUCUAAAUUGAAAAUAUGAACCAAUUAAUAUGGCUCUUCAAUGUAAUAUUGAAUAAUACAUGUGAUGGGCACCAUGCCACAAACAAGUGAUUGUUCUUUAAAUUGCCAAAUACUUUUUUUUUUCAAUUGUUAGAUUGGACUUGACACACAAGGGAUAGUAUCCUCAAUGCCCUUGUCGUUUUGGUGAAACUCCAUUCUAGCCCUGUUCUAGAUCUGGUGCUAACAUGCAAUCUUGACCACAUUUCUAGACCAGUGUAGACAAUUAAUUGUGAACAGAUCUUCCCGACCACCUCUCGAGGUAGCCAGGGACAAAUUGAUUGGAUGAAAGUUCAGUGGGCAGAGCUUAGUGACAUGUCACUGGGUGGAGUUUACGAGUCAAGUAAAGACAGGUGUUUCAGGGAGGUGGAGUGCUUGUGGGAGGGUGUUAAAACAGGUUGCGACAGAUGGUGUUGCCAGUUUGAAUCCAAAUGCAGCUCUUGUUUUCCAACCUACUUAAAAUGUUUUAGUACAUAUCUGACAUUCUAAAAUGACUAAAGGAAUGAACAGCUAAAGGAAUGAACAGCUUUAUAGAAUGUACACCCAACAAAAAACAAACUAUUUCCAUGAAGUCCAUCUGAUUAAGGUAGGCUCCCAGGGCAGCAGAAUGUUCAACAUAUCACUUACUGCAUCAUAAUUCUGUUCUAGAUGGUGCCCUCCCUCCUGCUGGUGCUGUGGACUAUGACCACAAGGUCACAGGUUCAAGUCUUGCCAAUUACCUUUCUCAACUUGUAUUUUGAACCCUAGUCCCUCCCUGUAAUCAAAUGAUGAGAUUCCCAAUGUUAAGACAUAUUGAUCCCUUGAAUCAAUGAUUUGAGGGACUAUUUAAAAUGGUUUGACAAUCCAGAUCUGUUUACACUUGUAAGAUAUCAAGAUACAAUUAGUCCUCGAUGGCCUCUGGAGGUAGUCAGGAAGAAUCACCAUCAAUAGUUGUAAUAUUCUACACGGUCUAGAAAUGGUCACAAUCAGAAUAUGGACAAGAUCAAGGACACAGGACCCAUGUUAACACCAGGUAUAAAACGGGGCUUCGAAUGGCAAACUGACAUUGUUGGAUUAAAAUGUUAAACAAAAGAGACUUAAAAGAUUCAGGCUGUAUCAGAAGGAACUUACACCCGAGCCAAAACAGAUUUACUUAACAUACUGUACGAAAGUAAUAUUGACCCUUUUCAACCAUGGGAUUUCAUUUAUCACAUUGAUACUACUGUACCACAACACCAAUAAAAUAAAUGCAUACAUAGUU
This is a long non-coding RNA of Oncorhynchus keta (chum salmon), 2300 nucleotides long. RefSeq lists it as uncharacterized. The record is from RefSeq and is a predicted model, not a curated record. The transcript has 2 exons. NCBI's taxonomy places the organism in Eukaryota, Metazoa, Chordata, Actinopteri, Salmoniformes, Salmonidae.